Molecule: ribosomal RNA, 631 nt
Filed under: uncultured bacterium
Lineage: Bacteria
Description: bacterial SSU rRNA
Rfam family: Bacterial small subunit ribosomal RNA
Source: RNAcentral
GCGUGACAUUAGCUAGUUGGUGAGGUAACGGCUCACCAAGGCGACGAUGUCUAGGGGUUCUGAGAGGAUGAUCCCCCACACUGGUACUGAGACACGGACCAGACUCCUACGGGAGGCAGCAGUGAGGAAUAUUGGUCAAUGGGCGCAAGCCUGAACCAGCCAUCCCGCGUGCAGGAUGACGGCCCUAUGGGUUGUAAACUGCUUUUAUACACCAAGAAAACUUCAGACGUGUCUGAAUCUGACGGUAGUGUAUGAAUAAGCAUCGGCUAACUCCGUGCCAGCAGCCGCGGUAAUACGGAGGAUGCAAGCGUUAUCCGGAUUCAUUGGGUUUAAAGGGUGCGUAGGCGGCUUUUUAAGUCAGUGGUGAAAUCCUGCCGCUUAACGGUAGAAUUGCCAUUGAUACUGAAAAGCUUGAGUACAGUUGAGGUAGGCGGAAUGUGUAGUGUAGCGGUGAAAUGCUUAGAUAUUACACAGAACACCGAUUGCGAAGGCAGCUUACUAAACUGUUACUGACGCUGAUGCACGAAAGCGUGGGGAGCGAACAGGAUUAGAUACCCUGGUAGUCCACGCCGUAAACUAUGAUCACUCGCUGUAUGCGAUACACAGUAUGCGGCCCAAGCGAAAGCAUUAA